AACAUCGCGCACCUGCGGGAACCUGCGGAAGGAUCAUUACAGAGUUGCAAAACUCCCUAAACCAUUGUGAACGUUACCUAAACCGUUGCUUCGGCGGGCGGCCCGGGUCCUUCCCGGCGCCCAUCGGUCCUCGCGGGCGCCCGCCGGAGGUAAACCAAACUAUUGCAUUGUAUGGCCUCUCUGAGUCUUCUGUACUGAAUAAGUCAAAACUUUCAACAAUGGAUCUCAGAUCGGAAGAGC
Molecule: unclassified non-coding RNA, 240 nt
Filed under: soil metagenome
Description: partial contains 5.8S ribosomal RNA, internal transcribed spacer 2, and large subunit ribosomal RNA
Source: RNAcentral